GUGGGGAAUUUUGGACAAUGGGCGCAAGCCUGAUCCAGCAAUGCCGCGUGCAGGAAGAAGGCCUUCGGGUUGUAAACUGCUUUUGUACGGAACGAAACGGUCCUGGUUAAUACCUGGGGCUAAUGACGGUACCGUAAGAAUAAGCACCGGCUAACUACGUGCCAGCAGCCGCGGUAAUACGUAGGGUGCGAGCGUUAAUCGGAAUUACUGGGCGUAAAGCGUGCGCAGGCGGUGCUGUGAGACAGGCGUGAAAUCCCCGGGCUCAACCUGGGAAUUGCGCUUGUGACUGCAGUGCUGGAGUACGGCAGAGGGGGAUGGAAUUCCGCGUGUAGCAGUGAAAUGCGUAGAUAUGCGGAGGAACACCGAUGGCGAAGGCAGUCCCCUGGGCCUGUACUGACGCUCAUGCACGAAAGCGUGGGGAGCAAACAGGAUUAGAUACCCGAGUAGUCC
Molecule: ribosomal RNA, 450 nt
Filed under: uncultured bacterium
Lineage: Bacteria
Description: partial 16S ribosomal RNA
Rfam family: Bacterial small subunit ribosomal RNA
Source: RNAcentral